This 463-nucleotide ribosomal RNA is filed under the name uncultured bacterium. RNAcentral's name for it is "partial 16S ribosomal RNA". It matches the Rfam family "Bacterial small subunit ribosomal RNA", at positions 29 to 507 of the family's 1533-position model. The record is from RNAcentral.
AUGCACGCUGGCGGCGUGCUUCACCCAUGCAAGUCGCACGAUGAAGCCCAGCUUGCUGGGUGGAUUAGUGGCGAACGGGUGAGUAACACGUGAGUAACCUGCCCUUGACUCAGGAUAAGCCCGGGAAACUGGGUCUAAUACUGGAUAGGAACGUCUACCGCAUGGUGGGUGUUGGAAAGAAUUUCGGUCAUGGAUGGACUCGCGGCCUAUCAGCUUGUUGGUGAGGUAAUGGCUCACCAAGGCGACGACGGGUAGCCGGCCUGAGAGGGUGACCGGCCACACUGGGACUGAGACACGGCCCAGACUCCUACGGGAGGCAGCAGUGGGGAAUAUUGCACAAUGGGCGAAAGCCUGAUGCAGCGACGCCGCGUGAGGGAUGACGGCCUUCGGGUUGUAAACCUCUUUCAGUAGGGAAGAAGCGAAAGUGACGGUACCUGCAGAAGAAGCACCGGCUAACUACGUG